This 1216-nucleotide ribosomal RNA is filed under the name metagenome. Its description in RNAcentral is "bacterial SSU rRNA". It matches the Rfam family "Bacterial small subunit ribosomal RNA", at positions 276 to 1498 of the family's 1533-position model. The record is from RNAcentral.
UUUACGGUUAGCUGGUCUGAGAGGAUGGCCAGCCGCACUGGGACUGAGAUACUGCCCAGACUCCUACGGGAGGCUGCAGUCGAGGAUCAUUUGCAAUGGGCGAAAGCCUGACAAUGCGACGCUGCGUGGAGGAUGAAGGCCUUCGGGUUGUAAACUCCUGUCAUGGGGGAACAGGCGAGGGGACCCAACACGUCCCUUAGUUGAGUGUACCCCAAGAGGAAGCGACGGCUAACUCUGUGCCAGCAGCCGCGGUAAUACAGAGGUCGCGAGCGUUGUUCGGAUUUACUGGGCGUAAAGGGCGCGUAGGCGGCGGAGCGUGUCGGAUGUGAAAUCCCCGGGCCCAACCCGGGAAGUGCGUCCGAAACUGCCCCGCUGGAGGACGGAAGAGGGAAUCGGAAUAUAGGGUGUAGCGGUGAAAUGCGUUGAUAUCCUAUAGAACACCGGAUGCGAAGGCGGAUUCCUGGUACGUAUCUGACGCUGAGGCGCGAAAGUCGGGGGAGCAAACAGGAUUAGAUACCCUGGUAGUCCCGACCUUAAACGGUGCACGCUCGGGGUGGGGGGACUUCAACCCCCCCGUCCCUCAGCUAACGCGUUAAGCGUGCCGCCUGGGGAGUACGGCCGCAAGGUUAAAACUCAAAGAAAUUGACGGGGGCCCGCACAAGCAGAGGAGCAUGUGGCCUAAUUCGAUGCAACGCGAAGAACCUUACCUGGGCUUGACAUGGAGCUGCGCGGUCCGUGAAAGCGGACCUCCUUCGAGGGUGCUCCACAGGUGCUGCAUGGCUGUCGUCAGUUCGUGCCGUGAGGUGUUUGGUUAGGUCCACCAACGAACGCAACCCCCUUGGCCAGUUGCCAGCGGACGAUGCCGGGAACUCUGGCCACACUGCCCGUUCACGCGGGAGGAAGGUGGGGACGACGUCAAGUCAGUAUGGCCCUUACGCCCAGGGCCGCACACGUGCUACAAUGGCCGGUACAGAGGGACGCGAAGCCGCGAGGCGGAGCCAACCCCCCAGAGCCGGCCCCCCUUCGGAUCGGGGUCUGCAACCCGACCCCGUGAAGUCGGAUUUGCUAGUAACGGCGCAUCAGCUACGGCGCCGUGAAUGCGUUCCCGGGCCUUGUACACACCGCCCGUCACAUCAUGAAAGCCGUCUGCACCCGAAGUCCGGCGUUUGUCGGCCUAAGGUGUGGGUGGUGAUUGGGAUGAAGUCGAAACAAGGUA